Molecule: long non-coding RNA, 9718 nt
Organism: Apodemus sylvaticus (European woodmouse)
Lineage: Eukaryota; Metazoa; Chordata; Mammalia; Rodentia; Muridae
Exons: 2
Source: RefSeq, a predicted model, not a curated record
GUCUGUGGUAUGAUGUGACCCUCCGUUAUGCACGUGCUGUGCCUUUUACUAUGGUCCGCACAUCUUGCACACUCUCUGCUUUGCCUUGCCAUUUAGUCCUCUUUGUUCUUCACUGCAUGAUCUUCCUGUUGGUAUUCCAGCACUGGGAGAUCCUUUCUUCAGCUGUGUCCAGGUUCCCAAUGAACCCAUCACAGGUAGUCUCCUGUCUCUGCCACAGUUUUCUUCUUGACUCUUCCUAGGAUUUCUGCCUCUCCACAGGUUGGUGUCUACUUUUGCAUGCUCUCUGCUCUAUUGGAGUCUUUGGUAGAUGAUCAAUACUUCUUUAAAAUUCCCAUUCUGAUCAUUCCAGCAUUUCCCCAUACCGGGUUCUGUCUUUCAAACUCUUUUUAAAAGCUUUUUAGCAUGCCUUGUACUGUUGCCGUCUUGGUAGACCAUGAUGUACUGGGUAAGGGAAAUACUGGCACCGGGCCUUUCGUCUCAUGCAGGUAAACAGGUGAUGUCUACCCUCCAUCUCCAGCGCUCCCGCUCUGUGGGAGAUGUGGAAAUGUGCAUCUUUACAGUGGAGGCAGAAGGAAGAGAGGCGCUGACAGUAAGUGGCCUGCAAGGCAUCUGUCUUCAUGUGUCUGAGUGUCACAAGGGAUCAUGGGUUAGAGUCAUAUGAGAGGGUUGACUCUGAAAAGCACGGGUGUUUCAGAAGUUCUAAAGCAGCAGGGACAAGAAGAGAGAACAAAGGUCAACACAGUGCUUCUAAUUACACCUCAGCACUAGCUUCAGAAGAUGUUGGCUCUGAGAUUCCAACUUACUGUUUAGACAGAUUCUGGCAGUCUCUGUGGCUUGGCACCUGUAAAUUAAGACAAAAUGCCAGUCCCUAUGAAAAGGGAGCACUUCCCCUGCUACGUUAGUAUCCUGUGCUAAUCAACACACAAGCCUACUGCUUGGAGACCUCGGCAGCUAAACCUACAUUACUAAGCAACAUCCCACUGUCGUCGACUUCCUUUUGUUGGUUGUUUGUUUCAUUUUGGUUUCUUUUGGAGACAGGCUUAUGUCUUAUGUAACCCAAGACUGACUUCAAGUUCCCAGUCCUCCUGUCUCAGCCCUCAGGGCUGAGUUUAGAGGAACCAACACCACAGUCUUCCCCCUCUCUCAUUGUGAAGCCUCCGAUGACCUCUUCUCCCCUGCUUACCACAUGGACGGAAAUCUUACCAAGCCGCAUAUGGGUAUGAGAUGAGCAGAGAGAAAGUAAAACCCACGUGAAGUUCCCGGAGCAAUGGCCUGGCUCACGGGGCCUUGCCUGCGGACACACCACACUCUUGUUUUCUUGGUGGUGUGCAGCAGUUUCCUCUCUACCCUCACUUCAAACACCUGCUUUUUAAAUUUCAUUCAUAAUGUGACCUGAAGUCCCCCACCUCCCUCUGCAGCCUCCUGCAGAUAAUAGGAGAAAGAUGCAUCAUGGGGUGUGAGAUGACACUGAAAAUUCUGUUUACCCACAAUUCCUCUUCCUCUCUCCCAUUCAAAGCUGGAGCAUUUACCCACACCGAGCCCAAGUCUAAAUGCUCAGUUCCUGAUGGUUUUCUUUUAAAUAAAUCAUACUUGGUGAGAUGUGCAGUUCUAGGAGAAAAAAACAAAAAGAAGGAAAGAACUCCAAGUAACAGGGGAGACACGUUAUAUAGAUUUCCUAGCAUCCGACAAUUGUGCUGAUGAGGGCAAGAUAGAGCUGCCCGUGCAAGAUUGACAAUGGGGGGAGGGCAGUGCCUGGACGUAACCCAACGUCCCCCAGAGGAAAGAUGGUCCAUUAGCAUGCAUUGCCCCUGAGCAGGAACGCUGAAGCCAGUGUCAGUCAGCAAAGGGGUAUUUCUUCUUCCUUGUGCAAACAACUGUUUCCUGACCAAGGACUCCGAGGGUGGAACAUGUUUUCUCUUUGGUUAGAAAAACAAACACAAACUUCCCCUCCGUGGUGCAUCACAGACUCCUUUAUCUGCUUUGCUACAGGGAGAGAGAAACUGCCAAUUCACUCACGUCCUUGGCGGUCUGUCGCACAUCCCUUCCUGGCUCCGUUUCUUGGAUACCCAGCUGGCACCCCCUGGCCCUGGCGUGGAUCCCACACUUACCCUCUCUUUCACAGUAUGGAAUUUUAAAUGCAGCUGAGCCCCACUAGGACUUACUCUCUAUCUCAGGGGGGAAUUAGCUUUGAAUGCAAUCCAGGCGCUCACAUUCCCAAAUCCUGGGAGUCUGCUCUUCCCAAACGCCUGAUGGAACAUUUUGUUGCGGCUUGCAGGGAGUCAGCCAGCCUUGUUUGUUCUUUUCUUUAGAGAAUGCUGUCUUCAGGCCUAGGAGUGGAAAGGGCGUUGUGCUCAGGAAGGCUGGGCUUCUCCCCCACCUCUCCCUGUCUCUACCAGAAGUUCUAUUGCACCGUGUGGAUGGGAUAUUGAGCUCUGGGGGAAAAUCUGCUAGCCAGGCUGCUUGGAUAUUCGAAAUGUCACCUCUACAUUUUGAAAUUUUGGACCAGACUGGCUUCUUUACUUAAUGCUAGAGGGGUAAACAGAGUGUGUUCUCAAGGGAGAAAGCAGAAGCAGAGAAGCCAGCAGGGCACAGCUGACAGGGGGCCAGGCUCUUUGUCACAGAGAACUAAGACCACUGUUGUUGGAUCCGGAGAUAAACAGCCAACUGAAAUUCCCUUGGUUUGAUGCCAGCAGCCAGCAGGGGUGGAUGGACACACACACACACCCUAACACAGAAGAAGUGUGAAUUUUGUUCACUUAGAUCUCUAGGACCAAGUAGAAGAGAUUCAAACCGUUACUAAGUAUCAAGAUCAGGCACCAGCCUUGGUGCUUUACCUUAUUCACCUUACUUCUUGAGACAACUUAGAAAGUUUAGUGCUCUGACCUCUGUUUGUGCUCGGAUUUCUGUUUACAUUCACAGCUCUGCCAUUCUGACUCACUUGUCUCUUCUGACCAGCCUUUCUAGAGGCCCCUGUCCUUUACCCAAACCAGCCAUCUUGAUUUUUAUCUUUAUCAUCCUUACAGUCUAGAUGAGUUUCUUACUCCAGUUUAACAGUCUUUUCAACUGUGCUUUGUUUAGAAUCUAUCAAAUCCAGAGGACAUAUUUUCUUUUCUGUCAUCUCCGCCUUUAUAUCCACCUGCACUUGCAUUAUACCAUAAGUGGUAUGGUAUAUUGGUGGCUUGCCUCUAUUUACUUUUGCAACUGGGCAUAAAAACUCAUUUAUAAAUAAAAAUUCUUAGAAAGAGCUGUUUAAAACUGCACAGGGACUGCAGAGAGAGGGAGAAUCAGCCUCUCCCGGGGAUAAUCCCCUUAUUGGUUAUCCAAUGCAAAGUCAUCAGUCCUGAAGCCAUAUACACACAAACAGCAAAAAUUAACUCAGCGGGUUAUAGUUGUAUAUUUGUGUAUACAUAUCCGUGUGCACACAUGCAUGUGUGUGUAACGACAAUUGGGAGAGAAGAGGCUAUCAAUUUGAGUGAGGCAGGGGACAUGAUGGAAGUUGGAGAGAGGAGAAUGGGGAAAGGCCGGAGGCGGAGCAGGAAGGCAGAAACGGAUGGAAUUACAUAUUUAAUUCGAAUAUAUGUAUAAAAAAAAUUUAAAUUGACAAAAAUACAACAUGGUGUAUGACAAACAUACAAGAUGGUGACAGCAGUUCACCAUCUCCCAUGAGAGGACUUCCCCAGCCCUUAUUUUCCCUUAUUUUUACAUAUGUUAGGCUUUAGUACAUGCAUGUAUUACAUACUGAACAUAUCCCCUCUGUGCCACCUGCCCUCCCCUUUCUCACCCACACACAUCCUUUUAAUUCCCGUUGUUCUUCUGGGAAGUUUUACUUCUACUUUCAUAGAGGAUUUUUCUAUGUAGACGAAACAUGACACUUGCCUGCCAGACACUGGACUUCUGCUUGGCCCCAUCAAUGCCCGCAUCUGGUUUUGUGCCAGUGCCAGGAUGUUCCUGUCACUUUGGCUCAGUGAUAUACUGUGACAGCAGGUGUGCUGAUAGCUAGUGUUUUUUUUUUUUAAUAUUUAUUUAUUUAUUAUAUGUAAGUACACUGUAGCUGUCUUCAGACGCCAGAAGAGGGUGUCAGAUCUCUUUACAGAUGGUUGUGAGCCACCAUGUGGAUGCUGGGAUUUGAACUCAUGACCUUUGGAAGAGCAGUCGGUGCUCUUACCAGCUGAGCCAUCUCUCCAGCCCGAUAGAUAGUGUUUUUACUAGGAUUGUUGUGGCUCUCCAGAGUAUUUUGUGUGUUUUGAUAUUCAUUUUAAGGCUUCCAUCCUAUUUAUGUAAAGAAUAGAAUUCAAAUUUAAUUGGUAUCAUAGUUUUUCUUUUUUUUCUUUUUUUUUAACUUUUCUUUUUUUUUUUUUCUGAGACAGGGUUUCUCUGUGUAGUUCUGGCUGUCCUGGAACUCACUUUGUAGACCAGGCUGGCCUCAGAAAUCCACCUGCCUCUGCCUCCCAAGUGCUGGGAUUACUGGCGUACACCACCACGCCCGGCACGGUAUCAUAGUUUUUCAAUCUGUAGAUUACUUUUGAUAGGAUAGCCAUCUUCGCUAUUUUCCAUCUAUGUUCCAAUCCAUGGGCAUUGGACAUCUGUCCACCUUCUAGUGUCUUCCUCGAUUUUCCGAGCAUUUUAAAGGUUCCUGCAGAGAUUGAUCAUUUACUUCAUUGGUUACCUUUAUUCUAGGGUGACAUACGUCCUCUUACAGAGUGUCAGUUCUUCAUGAUUCAUUGAGGGUUGUGAAUAUAAGCAUUUUCAAGCCUUGAACAUUUCCCAUAAUUUUGUUUCUUUCUCAGAAAAACUCACAUUCGGUUAUCUGCAGGGUCUCACUCCGCGCACACCAUACUGGCCUCAAACUCACAGCAGCAUAAGUGCCUCAGCCUCCUAAGUGCAGGGAUUCCUGGCUUGUGCCACCGCGUCCAGCUUCCCACUGGGUAUCUUUAUUGCUGUAAGAUCUCUUCAUGGAUUUUAGCUGUGGCUUGCAAGGUCAUUGUACACAGACAGUUUCCCCCUCCUUUCUUUCUCCCUGUGAGUUCAUCUCCCUUUGGGCUUGUUGUUGAGUCCUUCUUUAGGUACUGAAUUCUACUUUAAGUAGUGGCUGGCCACAGACUUUGCAGUCUCUUUCCACCAGCCAUGGACACCCUGCCCUGCCUGGCCUUUGGAUGCAGGCUCAGUAUACAUGCUUGGUGCUGUGCUCUGGCUCCCAGCCUCGUGUGCAACUCUCUCUCUCUCUCUCUAAUAGUUUGUUUCUACUGAAUUAUUAAUUAUGUGGAACUGUGAGUUUGCAGAGACCAGACCUACCCUCUUGUGCUUGUGAACUGCCUGAAAUAGGUGCUCGGAAGCAUCAAUCUUAGCUGGAAGAGCAGGAAUCACUCUUAACUGCUGAGCCAAGUCUCUGGCUCAUGUGAUCUUUUGACUCUAGCUGUAGAAGCUGCACCCUCUCAGAGGCAGCAGCCCAGGUCAGUCUCUACUUAUCACUUCUCAUUGUGAUUCACUUCCUAGGAAUCACAAAGGAGCAGCUAUGGCUAAGCUCAGAGUAAUUAACCUGGAGAGGCAGUGAGUUCAGACAUCAUGGGCAAGUUUCAGGGAAGGAGCUUCAGCUACUGAAAUGGAAGGAAACCCAUCCUAGGAGAAUCAGGCUGAGAGUCCUUAACUUCCCAGGUCUUCUCUUUCUCCUCCUUUCCUGGUCCUUUCCCUGAGAUCCCAUUCCCUGUUGGUGAUUAUCAUUAGGGACCCGCCAUUCUGACCUACCACUUUCCUACAGUCUGCCUUCUUCAAAGUAAAACAGACUUGUAACCUUCUACACUCUCAUCCUCCCUUUCAAGGUCAUCUGGGUUCAUAGACAUGUACAGGGAAGCGGUCAGCUAUUUCUUUUCUUUCUUUCUUUUUCUUUUUCUAAAAGAUUUUAUUUAUUUCAUGUAUCUGAGUACACAGUCACUGUCUUCACACAUAUCAGAAGAGGGCAUCAGAUCUCCACUACAGAUGGUUGUGAGCCACCGUGUGGUUGCUGGGAACUGAACUCAGGACCUCUAGAAGAGCAGUCAGUGCUCUUAAUCGCUGAGCCAGCUCUCCAGCCAGGUCAGCUAUUUCUCAACACAUCCAUCAAGCCCUUACUAUGUGGCCCUGCUUCGUGGGUCACAGUGAGUGGACACAAGUGGCCACAGCUGGGCCACUCUAGAUCAUAGCUGUCUCCAGUCAUGAGACUAAGGGAUGACCCUACCAUCGCUCCUUGGAACUUGCGACCUUGGGACACGAGCACAGUGCCCAGGAGACUAGCAGCUUGGAGAUAUCACGAUAGCACGCUCCUGGUCCUGUUGAAGCAAAUGGCUUAUAGGAGACAUUAUAGGCUGGAUCAGUCCUGCCAAAGCAGAACGAGAGGGAGCUGUGGCAGCUGUAGGGCAUUUCUAGUCCUUGUAGGCUGCAGCCGGUUCACCCCAGCCUAGUAACCCUGUGAAGGAAUCACUGUUACACCUCUUUUCGUAUUUUCAUUUUUCAAAAGAAAGUUCCCUUUUUUUUGAUAUUAAGAAUGCUGUUCAUUUAAACAGUUCAAAACAACAUCGAGGGACUGGGGAGAUGGCUCAGUGGUUAAGAACAGGCAAUGCUCUUACAGAAGACCUGAGUUUGAUUCCUAGUACCCACAUACUGGGCAGCUAACAACUGCCAAUGAUUCUGGUUCCAGAGGAUCCUAUGUUCAGGCCUUUAUGGGUAUAUGCAUGCAUACACUCACACUCAGACACAUAAUAAAAUAAAAUACUUUUUAAGGAAAAUAAUGACAAUGAAAAGUAUAAUGUAUAAAGGAAAAAUUAUUGUUACUCUGUCAGCCAGAUAGAGACACUGACAUGUAAUAUUUCCCAGGCGUUUUGUUUUGUUUUGUUUUGUAGGACAGGAUCAAAUUCUAUACCACAAGCUAUCCUGGAACUCAGUAUGCUGUCCUGACUGGCCUCAGACUCCACUUUAUGUUAGCCUGAGUGAGCUGCCCCUCCUAGCCUGGGCAUUUGUUUUAUGUAUUAAAAAAAUAGAUAAUUUUAUAAGAGAAAAAUAUAUGGAAUUCUAUAACAUGCCAUUCUAAAAUAUGUUUGAAGUAUCUUUAUAAUUACUUUCAAAUGUACAUUUCAAAAGCAAGUAGUUCAUCUUCACGGUAUAUGGGAAUUUCUGUUUCCCAGCGCUCCUUCCCGCAUUUAUUUGUUCCAAGUUUUUUAUUACAACGAGCACAGCACUGAAUGUCUGUGUGUUUGUUUUGGUGUGCUAUUUUUUUUAAAGUAUUUCUCAUUUUGUCAUGUCUCUAAAUUUCCUGUUCCUGCUCCUUUUCCUUCCUUUCUUUCUUCCUUUCUUCCUUCCUUCCUUCCUUCCUCCCUCCUUUUUGCCCCCUCUUUUGCAAUGAAUCCAGGAUUCUCACAGAGCCACAACCCCAGCCCAAAUCCCCAAAUUCUAACACUAACAUCUUAUCAUUUGAGUUAUGGGAUUCAACCGGCUUUGGCAACUCCUUCUGGAGCCAAGCUUGGAAGUAAGUUUCUUAUGUUCUUUGGAUUUGGUGCUUCUGCAUUUAUACUUCAUGAGAGACUUUGUAUUAAAUUUGGAGACACAGCUGUGGAUAAGGUCUGGGGUAUGCCCUUUGUGGGGGAAGGGAAGCUGACACCUGCGGAACCCUGACCAUGACAGCACUAUAAAUAGGAUUCUGGGGAUCAGAAUCCACCUUUAUGUGGGUUCCAGGGAUCAAACUCAGGUCAGCAGGCUUGCCCAGCAAGCACCUUUCCCUGUGGAACUCUCUCAUCGGUUCCCAACAGGACUCUUGUUCAUUCUUCACUUAACAACAACAGUCCUGUUCGAUGUUCUAUGUUGUUUCUUCAGAGAAAUGAGGAAAAGGAAGAUCAGAAAGAUGAGUUUCCAGUCCAAGUAAAUACAAAACAAGGAUAGAAAAUGAUCUCUCUGAUGUCUCUCCGUCAUAUAUAGUUUAAGGAGCGAGUCACAGAAGCACAAGAUAAAACCAAGUCACAACCGCUUCAGAAAAUCAAAACAAAGGGAUGUACUUAGGCCUCUGUGGUGCUCGGCAGAGGCAGAGUUAGAAGUAGUUGGGUCUUUUCUCUGUAGUGGGCAGCUGCUCACCUGUCUGGGUUAAGAGGGUAAAGCCAUGGGCAGGGUUGGGGGGGGGAAGAGGGAAAAACCAACCCUAAAUGAUUCCCCUGUGUACUGCAUAAGAAGAUCCUGGGGAAACCCAGACAUUUGCCAGCUGGGAGCUGGCUUAACAUCAGGAGAUGAUUCCUAAAGAGCUGCUGGGAAGUUAAAACCAGCAGGUGAAGACAGAAUUGCUGGAUUGAAGCAGCAGCUGGAGAGGAGGCAGAACUUUUUAAGAGCACCUGGAAAUACUAACGGUGGGCAGGCUGCCUUAAUCUUUCAGUGUCGAACCUUGCAAAAGGAGGAGGUCUAAUUGGCUCACCGUUUUGGAGACUGAAGGCAGCAGAUAUGCUUGGCUUCUCGUAAGGGCUCCCUUGGUUACACCAUAUCACGGUAGAUGUGAGAGCACAACCGAAAAUGAGAGAUUGCAGGACCAGACAGGACGCCAGGCACAAUACAGAGGGGCCAGUCUUGCUACUGCACACCGUGACACUUUUAUAAGAACCCUCUCUGUGAGAUCCGUGUUAAUCUCUUCUGAGUGCAGCACCUCCAGUAACCCAAGAAUCUCCCAUUAGACUUUACUUCUUAAUGUUUCCGGUGCUUGGAGAGCAUGUUUCUAAUGCAUGACCCAACUAGAAAACCUUCAAACACUUUAUAAACCAUAACAAGUAUUCCAGGGAUUAUGGUAUUCAAGAUGAUGCCCUAUAUGUCCUUGCACCAUGGAAAAUUGAUAUGUUAGAGUAUUUCUUAGAGUAAACAUAAAUCUCACUGAAGGCCAGGCCUAGAGGUACUCGAAAGCACAUCACCAGGCAAGGGGGCAGGAGAACUUGGUUAAGUUUGAGCAGAUUAUGAACCAAAGCUUUAGAUAUAUCUGAGAAAGAUCUGCAGAGUUGACCAGACAUCACCCUGUGAUGUCAGUCCAUGGACCUUCAUUCAGAGAGUGGUUUCGCUUCCCUCCCAUAUUAGUCCAUUUUCUGUUCCUUUAAAUAGAUGCCUGGGACUUAUUAAUUUAAUAAAUAAUUAGAUAAAGAAGCUUAUUGCCUUCAUGAUUCUGGUGGCUGGAGGGUCCAAACAACACAGUGCUGGUGUUCUGACAUGCGUAGAUGCAGCACAACUCAACAGAGGAAAGGAAAUUAAAAGUAACGCACUGUAGGCAGAUGGUAUCAACCACACAGCAAACAUAACCUCGUGAACAACAUUCUGUUGGCCCGAGAACUAGCCCACUCUUCAAGAGCCACAAAUCCUGCCCUAGGACAUCCCUCCAGAACCUAACUACCUUCCAAUAAGGGUGCCUCUUAAAGACUCCGCUACCUCUGUGAUGCUGUCUUCAUUGUUGGCUUGACAGACUUUGGAAUCACCUAGAAGACAUACAUGCUGGUAGGAGUGAAGGAUCCUCCAGAGAUGUUCAGCCAAGGGGAUCAAAAAACCCCACCCAACAGUGGACAUCAUCCUCCUGUAGGAGUAAACUGGGAUACCAGUCUUAAUAUUCCUCCUCUGCUUUCUGACAGUAGACACAAUGUGACAAGCUGCCUCCCUCCCUGACCACCAUGCCUUUCCUGCCAGGAUCUAUUUGUAUCCUCAAACCAUGAGCCAAAAUAAACCUUUCCUUCCUUAA